CUCUGCCACCUCAGGCCCAUCCAGUAGCUCUGCAUUGACAGCCCUCUAGGCUAAGUUCUUAAUGCGUUUCAUUCCAUGGUAUAUUGUUUAGAUUAUCUUAUUACUGGUAAUGCUAACUUGACCACUUGGGUUUACAGUGCUGUCUGCAAGGUUUCUCUAUUGUAAAGUUGAUUUUUUUCCUCAAAGUAUUUUGUAAAGGGUUACUUUCAAACUAUCACAUUCUUCAACAUGUUGUUACUGAGUUCAUGUAUUUAGAUUGGGAUAGACUUGUGGAUUUUUAAUGUCUUAUAAUCCAUUAUCAUUUUUAUUGUAAUGUUCAAAUUGUCCCAGUCUGACCAGUGAGAAUCCCUUAAAGAUGGCUUCUGUAUCCUCCUGAAUUGACCCUAUUACUUUUUUAUUUUCACACACAACAAGAUGUACGAGGCUUGUCCUAUAUUUUCCCUGCCCUAGGCCUGGAAUUAUUCAUUUUCCCAAGGAAUUCUGGUCCCUUUUAGUAGAAAAUGGUGUUUAGAGACCAAGAUCUGAGUUCUAGGCGUGCUAAUUGCUACUGGUAUGUUGCUUCUCCCAGGCCCUCUCAGGGGAGACUUGACAUGAAGCAAGAACCAAGAGAUCUCUGGAAUAAUUAAGAAAGAAAAAAAUCCCCUCUCUUCAAACAAUUUGGUCCAAAACUACCAGAUGAAGCCAAAAUGGGAGAACGGAACCUGAUGCCUCCUGGGCCAGUUCAAAUGGUCUCCCUGAGAAUUUGGACUUCUCAAAGAGAAAGUUAUCUGUGUGUAUGGACUAAAACACACAGCACUUUGGAAAUGAUGGCAGUCAGAUUCUGCCACUGAGGAGAGGAGGAAGUCCAUCUGAGCAUCUCUCAGAAGUGCAGGUCAUCAGCAAUUCGUAGAGCAGCUCUAACCACAAUCAAGCUCGCAAGGACACUCAUGAGAAGUUUUUCUAUUUGAGAAACACAAACAGCUCCAUCGAUCUUACUAACACCCUAGAGGUAAGUGUGAGAACCAUCAAAAUGGUCUUGGGGUUGGCGUGAGGAGAAGGGAUGGCAUAAUGAUUCGUGAGUUGUUUCCGGACUUUGCCAAAAAGCAUUGCUGGGAAGUGGAGACUGGGUGUGGUUAAAUUUUCAGGAUCUUAGAAUGUCAUUGCAGGCAGGAAACUCCAAGAUUAUCCAGUGCAUAACCCUCUGAGCCUCUGAGAAAGGAAGUGACUCUGUCCAGAGUCACACAUGUAGUUGGUGGCAGAGCCAAGUCUAGAAUUUAGAUCUUCCCAAAUAAGCUCAGUGUUCAAGAAUACGCUCUACAAAUAGUAAGUCCUUGUACUGUAGGCCCCAAACAAAAUUACUAUGAAUAAAACUCAUGACCGUGUGUAAGGCA
RNAcentral lists this long non-coding RNA (1370 nucleotides) under Sus scrofa (pig). RNAcentral describes it as "lncRNA (ENSSSCG00060012404.1)". The record is from RNAcentral. Lineage: Eukaryota; Metazoa; Chordata; Mammalia; Artiodactyla; Suidae.